This is a long non-coding RNA of Bufo gargarizans (Asiatic toad), 164 nucleotides long. RefSeq lists it as uncharacterized. NCBI's taxonomy places the organism in Eukaryota, Metazoa, Chordata, Amphibia, Anura, Bufonidae. The transcript has 3 exons. The record is from RefSeq and is a predicted model, not a curated record.
GGACUAUCGUGAAUGCUCAGCACAUGUUCUAGUCAACACGGAAAUAAAACGUGGGGGUAUCUUUAACCACCAUUGUUCUGAUACAAUAGGGGAGCAGCCAAAACUACCAGAAGAACGAGUUAUAGAGCCGAUUGUGCCGGCUGUCAAUCGCCCUUGCUUGGGAU